RNAcentral lists this ribosomal RNA (253 nucleotides) under uncultured bacterium. RNAcentral's name for it is "partial 16S ribosomal RNA". It matches the Rfam family "Bacterial small subunit ribosomal RNA", at positions 524 to 776 of the family's 1533-position model. The record is from RNAcentral.
UACGUAGGGAGCAAGCGUUGUCCGGAAUCAUUGGGCGUAAAGCGCGCGUAGGUGGCCCCAUAAGUCCGCUGUGAAAGUCAAAGGCUCAACCUUUGAAAGCCGGUGGAUACUGUGGGACUAGAGUACGGAAGAGGCGAGUGGAAUCCCUGGUGUAGCGGUGGAAUGCGCAGAUAUCAGGAGGAACACCAAUAGCGAAGGCAGCUCGCUGGGACGUUACUGACACUGAGGCGCGAAAGCGUGGGGAGCGAACAGG